UACGGGGGGGGCAAGCGUUGUUCGGAAUUACUGGGCGUAAAGGGCGCGUAGGCGGUCUGUUAAGUUGGAUGUGAAAACUCUGGGCUUAACCCAGAGCCUGCAUCCAAAACUAGCAGGCUAGAGUUCUGGAGGGGAUAGCGGAAUUCCUGGUGUAGCGGUGAAAUGCGUAGAUAUCAGGAGGAACACCGGUGGCGAAGGCGGCUAUCUGGACAGAAACUGACGCUGAGGCGCGAAGGCCAGGGGAGCAAACAGG
This 253-nucleotide ribosomal RNA is filed under the name uncultured bacterium. RNAcentral describes it as "partial 16S ribosomal RNA". It matches the Rfam family "Bacterial small subunit ribosomal RNA", at positions 524 to 776 of the family's 1533-position model. The record is from RNAcentral.